GCAGUUGUGGCGGAAUUGGCAUACGCGCUAGAUUCAGGUUCUAGUCCACAUUUCGUGGGUUCGGGUUCAAGUCCCGUCAACUGCA
This 85-nucleotide transfer RNA is filed under the name Roseburia sp. CAG:303. It matches the Rfam family "tRNA". Rfam says of the family: Transfer RNA (tRNA) molecules are approximately 80 nucleotides in length. Their secondary structure includes four short double-helical elements and three loops (D, anti-codon, and T loops). Lineage: Bacteria; Bacillati; Bacillota; Clostridia; Lachnospirales; Lachnospiraceae. RNAcentral also lists the same sequence under 2 other names. The record is from Rfam by way of RNAcentral.